RNAcentral lists this long non-coding RNA (511 nucleotides) under Homo sapiens (human). RNAcentral's name for it is "HSALNT0316367". Lineage: Eukaryota; Metazoa; Chordata; Mammalia; Primates; Hominidae. The record is from RNAcentral.
UGCAUCUUACUGCAAUGUGCUUUCAUUUCCUUCCCCCAUACUUGUACUAUUCUUGUCAUAGAUUUUACUUUCCUAUAUCUUGCAAUUCAUUGUUAUAGUUAUUAUGCAAUAGGCUCUCUCUAUUUUAACAAUUUUUUAAAUGAGAAAAAAAAUUUUCUAUUUUUUUCACACUUUAACCAUCCUUUAUUGCUUUUCUAAGGUACAUGUUCCCACCUGAAGAACUUCCUUGAAGAUGUCUUAUAGUGCAGGUCUGCUGUUUAUCUUGCUUAGGGUUCAUUAAACUUCUUGGAUUUAUCAGAUGCUGGCCAUUUUUAUAUUAUAUGGAUGAGUGUCCAGAUUCAGUUAUAUUCUUUUAACAACUGUUGAAAUUUAUUCUGGCAGAUAGUUAAUUUUAUGUGUCAACUUGACUGGGCCACAGGAUGCUGAGAUACCUGGUUCAACAUUAUUUAUGGGUGAGUCUGUGAGACUGUUUCAGGAAGAGAUUAGCAUUGGAAUCAUAGGCUGAGUACAG